Patella vulgata (common limpet) is the source of this 7798-nucleotide long non-coding RNA. RefSeq lists it as uncharacterized. NCBI's taxonomy places the organism in Eukaryota, Metazoa, Mollusca, Gastropoda, Patellidae. The record is from RefSeq and is a predicted model, not a curated record. The transcript has 4 exons.
UGUGUUGGGUUGCGUAACGGAUGGAUUUUACAGUUUGUUUAUAAAAUGAAGAGGCUACUAGGAGUAUUUAUCUUAUGUUCUGUAAUACACCAUAGCAUGGCUACGUGUGACGUGUCCUAUUGUGUUCACGUUUUAUACAGCACCAGUAGUUUAGCUGUCGACAAAAUUUGUCCGACUUUACGAUACGCAAUGAGUUGUCUGGAAAAUUUCGUUAAGAAAUGUGAACACGUUAAGAAUGAUACCGAUGAUGUAAAUGUUCGAGAAUUUAUGGAAGAAAGUCGAGACAAAAUAGAUGAAUUGUGCAACAUGCAAGAUGACCAAUUAAAUGGCGGGGCUGUGGUUGGACCAUUGUGGGGUUUGUUAUUAUUAGUGGUCUGUGUCCGCCUCUUCACCAACAGAAUUCUAUAGAAAAACAUGAUAAUUCUAGUUUCACUUUCAUUAAGACUCUCUACGUUUAUCGAACCAAGGGCAGAUAAUCUAAUCAAGAAUGAUUGUUGGAAAAGUGCAUUAUAAUCAAGACUAAUCAAACCCGGAAGUCAACACAGAACCUAGCUGUUCAGUGUUGUUAUGGAUAUCGCGUCUGAGUGCUGUGUGGAACUUUAAUAUAUUUUUUAUCUAAAACUAAUCUGGACGCAGAAAACUUUUUCUUAUGGGCUUAAAUCUGGUAUUGAUAAUCUAGAUUUACUAUGACCGAAAAUGUAAUCCGGAAGUUCAUAAAUCAUUUCUCACCUUUCUUGUCAUUGGCUGAUCCAAAAAUAUGUGACUUGUAUGGAUGAUUUUCCUGGUAACAGGUUCUGUGAGACGAUUGGCUGUUCCGAAGACACGUGACCAAUAUCGAUGAUGUCCCUAAUAGCAAGUCUUUUUAGGCUUUUACGGAAACACGUGAUCAAUAUGGACGCUCUCCCUGAUUACAGUGAUGACACCAUAUAAACGAAUAAGACCAGAUCAAUGACGGUGUCUGGAGCUUUCAAAACCCUUAUGACAUACGUCGUAAAAGAUCCUUUCUUUGUGAUCCUUAUAAGCUCCGUCUACACUACUAAAUAUUUGUUUGCUAACAUCACCGAACAACAUGUUUGGCCAUGUUUGCAAAUAAAAGAUUGACAGUGUAGACUGGCCUUUAGAUUGUAAAUAUUCAUGUUAUGUUUUGCCCCGAUCGUGAGCCUAAAGCCCCGUCUACACUACCAACAUUUGUUUGCUUCCAUCACCGAAGAUGUUUGAAAACAAAAUAUUGGCAGUGUAAACUGACCUUUAGAGUGUAUAUAUUUAUGUUUUAUGUGACCACGAUUGUAAGCCUUAUGCUCCUACGCGCAAGCGAAUUAUUGAAGGAAGUAAAAGUAAACCAUGUGUUAAUCCCGAAAUGAUAGCUUGUAUCGAGUGGACGUUACCCCCCUCCCCCCUCUCUCUCUCUCUCUCUCUCUCUCUCUCUCUCUCUCUCAUUUGUAAACGAAGGAAAUAAAAAAUCUCCGAUCGUCAUUUGUAGAAUCGUUAAUCAUCCGCAAACUGUAAUACUGGUAUCGAUGGACCCCCAAAAAGGUAUAGUGGUUCAGGGGACAACAUAUAUUCGUUCGGAUGGGACGAAAAACCGAGGUCCCCUUACACAUUAGCGUGCACAUAAAUGAUCCCUUGACAGUUGGAAUUCGAUAUAAGAGUAGGCCGUAGCGUCGCUGUCCGGGCACAAUUUCCCUCAUAGCACACUGUAUGGCGUAUGCCCGUCUUCAUUACCCCAGUCAGUGCACUAUGAACCGAGGUUUGACUGAUUACUAAAGUCGGUACGAUAAAAAACAUAGUCUCGAUUAUCCAUUUCAUGAUUUAAUCAUGAAUGGAAGUCGAACAUCAAAUCGGAACCUAAUCCAAUAAACAUCGAGAGUUAAUUAAUGUCUAAUUUUUAGGCCUAAUGAAAGACAUGCAAUAGGCAUAUUUAGCUCUUGCAUAAUGUAUGUUUAAACGGGGAUAAUCGAGACUAUGUUAUUUAUCGUACCGACUUUAGUAAUGAUUAUCGAAGCUAGGCCGAAAAUGCAAUCGCUAAAAUCUCGGUUCAUAGUGGGCCAAUUUGACUGAAAUUUUCAGCAAAUUCCCUUUACAUUAUCUAGUUUUUAGCUAUUAUAGUGAGAACUGUCAGCUCUUUGUCUAAUCUCCCAUAAUGCAUCUUUAAAUCGUAAGAUGUUGGAUAUUGCCCGACAAAUGUAAAUAAAAAAAUACCAGUUGUUUAAAUUCCCGAGGCGACAGUCAGAUCGUGGAUGUAAUUUAUAUUUGUACGGCAUUAAAAGUAAGUUGGUGAACGGAAUCAUUAAUAAGAUGUCGUAAAGAUUGGAUUAAUAUAGAUUUGUGACAAGGCAUUGUUAUUAUGUAGGGAGACAUUAAUAAUAAAUAUACUUAACUUAAUCGUGGCGUCAGCUGGGACGGAAAUUCUCCAAUAUAUAUAUUUGAAAAUAUAUCAAUAAGUGUGCUAUAAAAACGUUUCAACGUUAUAAGGGGUCUUUUGCGAUUUGUAAUCCCAUCUGAUCGACUAGACACUGUUCAAUAUAUCAAUAAGUGUGCUAUAAAAACGUUUCAACAUUAAAAGGGUCUUUUGCGAUUUGUAAUCCCAUCUGAACGACUAGACACUGUUCAAUAUAUCAAUAAGUGUGCUAUAAAAACUUUCCAACGUUCAAGGAAUCCUUUCCGAUUUGUAAUCCUAUCUGAACGACUAGACACUGUUCAAUAUAUCAAUAAGUGUGCUAUAAAGACGUUCCUACGUUCAAGGAAUCCUUUACGAUUGGUAAUCCCAUCUGAACGGGAGGGGGGGGGGGGCUGAAUGGUAGCGUGUGCGCGCUGUAUCAUAAAGUCUGACAUUGAGUCAACUGGUGUGGUUUCGAAUCCCCGGUUGUACGUGACAAGGAGUAGGGUCGCCUGUCCAACCUCGUGGGUUUUCUCCGGGUCCUCCGGUUUCCUCCCAUUGCUAAAGACCCCUACGCGCAAGCGAAUUAUUGAAAUAAAAUUAAACCAUAUGUUAGUCCCGAAAUGACCUAGUUUGUGUCGAGUGGACGUUAAACCCCAUUUCUCUCUCUCUCCCAUCUGAACGACUAGGCGUUGUUCUUCGUCAGACCAUUCGUCCUGUAUACCAAUGACAAGAGGUAAUUGAACCAGUUAAUCUCGAUGUACUUUAAAUUCUUUGUCAACACCAGGAUCGAACUCGUGACCUCCUGUUUAGUGAGUUGGAUCCUAACUCACGGAACCACAUCGUUAAUUGUAACACGUCGUUAAACAUAUUGGUAGUCAUCAUAGUUAAUUGGUGAAAUGGAAUGAAAUGAAAUAGGGUUUCCCGUCUUCAUUAGCCCAAUCGGUGCAGAACGGUAGGAUGUUAAACCCCAUUUCUUUUCAUUUCAUUUUGAAAUGGGGUUUAACGUCCUUCUGUUCUGGCCGACUGGGCUAACCAAGACGGGCAUACGCAUUACAGUGUGCUAUGAGGGCAAUUUAGUCCCGAGAGCUGCGCUACGGGCUAAGCUUAUAUCGAAUUCCAGCUGCCAAGGUGUAUUGUUGUUUCCAGUUUGUCAAUCCAGAAUUUUCUUCUUGUUAGUCCAAACGUUUUAAUUUCUUCUGGGGUUUCAAAGUCGCUCUUAGUCUUUUCUAUUGGUGUCACAAUGAGAUCAAAAAUGUCAUGAUUACGUGCUUUUGGGGUCUCCCCUACGUAUUGUUUGUCACAUUGUCUACAUGAAAUUAGAUAAAUUAAGUUUGAACUGCUGCAUGAAAGUUGAUCUAAUAUUGGGAAUUGUGUGACAGAUGUUUUGUUGCGGAACUGGUCGGAUAUGUUUCUGAUUUUGUAUGUUUGGCAUCUGGGAUGGCCAGAAGGUUUGGUUUUAACUGCUGAUUGCAUAUUGUUUUUUCUUUGACGGCAAGUUCAGCUAUAGAAUCGUUUUUUAUACGUUAGAAAUACAAUUUGGGGUAUCAUCUUUCUCUUAAUGUGCUAAAUACCAGCGUACAUGCUGACUCAAAGUCGGCCUUCUGAGUAUUUUUCAAAGAAACCGAUACACAUCAAUGACUGUUCAUAUAUGGAAACGGAGAAUCUGAGAUUUUAUGAUGCCAGAGAACGUAUGCUUGGUUGAAUGGAGCAUUUGAACAGUAAUUGAUGUGUAUCGGUUUCUUUGAAAAAUACUUUAGUUUCCAACUGACCAGUGUUGUUGGUGUUACUACUUUUGGAAACGGUGUUGUCAGGAAAAUCUAUGCUGUUAUAACUUACAUUUGCGAUUAAUUUGACAAAUGGAUGAUAAUUGUUCAUAAUGUUAAAAAACGUCCAAAAUUCGUCAAGUGUGUACGACCAGACUAUGAAAACGUCAUCUAAAAUAACCUCCAAAGAAAUCUGGUUUUAAGGGGCCAUUUUCCCACUCCGCCAUAUUUGCAUAACUCGAGGCAAAUCGUUUUCCAUAUCGCUGUUCCGGAAGACUGAAAGUAUACUUGGUCGUUGAAUGUGCAGUCAUUCCUCCUCAGACAGAGGUCGAGUAAUUUGAGGAUUUCUUCGUCCGGUACUCUGGUCUGGGUGCUUGAGGGUUCCUAAGAAAUACCUACAUAACUGCUUUAAUACCUGCGUUAUUAUCGAUGUUCGUGUACAUGCUCUGUACCUCGAUGGAUAUUAAAAUGGUGUGUUCAGGGACUCUUAAUUGUUUGAUUUUGAGAAUAAAAUCGUUGAUGCCUUUAUGGUAGCAUGCGUGUUGGCUUGCUAGUGCUAGUAAGAAAAGGUCUAUAUAUUCUGAUGCGUUGUAUGAUUCGCUGACACAGUCUGAUAUUAUUGGGCGUCCCUUGGGUAAUUUAUUAGGUAUAAACCAUUCUUUUUCUGGAUUCUUGUGUAUUUUUGGUAGCGUUGAAUGUCGUUGUCGGCAGUCAGAUUUAGCGGAUAGAUAAUCAUAUUGUUUUGCUGUUAUGUAUUCCUUGUCUUGCAAUUCAUGUAAAAUGUUGUUUAUUAAGUUUGUGGUGUCCUUAAAGAUGGGUUGAUCUAAUUUAGUGUAAUGGUUAGGAUAACUUUAUUGUUUUUCGGCCUCUGAGAUAUUGUCUGUGUGAUUCAUUAUGACACAACACGAGCCUUUGUCGCUUUUCUUGAUUAUUAUGUUUUUGUCUUUUUUGAGGGUAUUUAAUGCUGUUUUUGCGGCCCGGUUGAGAUUUGAUAUUUGUGAUCUUGGUUGACGGGAUGACAUUUCUGUGUUCAUUUGGUCGAAAGUGCUGGUGAUAAUGAAUUGAUCGGUGGUUUCCAUGUACAUUUUUCUGUGAAUAAUUUUCUACCUCUGCCGGGUGUGUUCCUAAAAAAAAUAAGUCAGUGAAAGAGUUCUUUGAAAGCGAUCAGUUGCCUGAAAUAUGGGGUCUAUGGGUGUUAUUGUUGGAGUUAGAAUAAACUUGAGGCCUUUGUCAAGUAUGCUAAGUUCUAGGGGGCUGAGAAGUCUGUCGCUCGAAUUUACUGUCUGUCCUAAAGAAGGCUUCAUUUUUCUUUUCUCUGAUUCUAGUUCAAAUUCCCCAUCCAGCAGUUGAUGAUCUUGCUCGCCGUGUCUGGGCUCCGGUGGAUAGCGUCGUUUCCUUUCAAUUCUACUUUGCCCUUGAAGCUUGGUAGUGUGGUGGCGUUUGGUGAAGGUGCAGUGGAGAUUAAUUGGUUGUAGCUGGUGAUGUUUUGGUAGGCGAUCUGAUGUCUAGACGGAAUUGGGAAGAAGUGGGGAUCUGUGUGGUAAAGAGCUUGGUUGUUAGGAAAACUGCUCUUGUCACCGCGAGCAGAUAUAGCAUCUGCUCGUGUAUCCUUGAUCCAGCUUCCUUCCUGUUGUUGAGUCCGACCUUUGACCAAAUUUGAAGUUGGCCAUAUCAAAUAUAGAUCUAACUGUGUUUUAAGAUUUAGGUUAAUUGUCCAGACGUUAAUUCCUUGUACUGAACUUAUUUGUCAGAAAUAUAAAAAUUUAACGGGAAACAAAAAAUAAAUGAAGUUAAUCUACUUUCGAUCCGGCAACCUCAAUCGAUACAUAAUUGAAACAACGUUGACAAUAGCAACUAUGUGCGUGUUUGAUGGAAGCAAAAAUCUCAAUAAAUCCAAAUCGGGAAUCACUUUGAAUUCCAGGGGAGGGGUGGGGUGGUUAACGCGUGGUCGUUGCAUCAAAAGGUGUGUCAUUAAAGUGAGUGGCAUGGUUUGGAUUCCCCCACUUGUACUUGACAAGGAGUAGAGUCAUCCGGUUUCCUCCCACUGCAAGCGGAUUAUUGUUAGUCCCGAAAUAACCUAGUUUGUGUCGAGUGGACGUUAAACUCUGCUUAGCACGCGGGUUUUCCUGUGGGGGGUGGGGUCUACCCGGCCUUGAGUAAGCGUACACCCACGGCCACGAGAUUGAGAAUACGCCCCUAUGUCAAAGUCACACACGCUAGGGCGACACUAUAGAUCACUAGGUCAUCCCAACCCGCCUGUAACCUUGCGUUUCUAUGGAUAGUGUUUAUGGCUCAAGAUUAAAAGGGGCACAACUCCUGUUUAUAAAUAUUAAUGUGUAUAAAUAUAUGUAUCUAACUUUGACGGUUUGUGUUUUUUGUUGUUUAUUUUGAAAAACCAAAGAAUACAAAAUACAUUCGUGAAUAUAUUUAAAUGUAGUUUUUGUUUCGUAUUAAAUUAACGUCCAUUUAUUUUGUCGUAACACCUUUAACCAAUAUGAUUAGAUGCUCUAUGUAUGAUUUAUUGUUUUAUUUAUUUGUGUUAAUUCGUUGAAACGCCGCAUUGUAAUAAACCAAGUUUAUUUCAUGAUUAGAUCAGAUGUUUUUCCAAUUCGUUUUUCGUUUUCUUUUGUUUUCUAUUCCGUAUUUUAUAUCAUACCGGGAUUAAUUAAUUAAACGAAACGAAAUAAAUAUGUAAUUUAAUUAGUUUGACCGUGGCACUUCAUGUCAUUUGCGACUGCACAAAUAAAUCAUGAUCUAUUAUGCGCAUGUGUAAAUUUUGUGUGACGUGUUUACAUUACCUUAGGGUUAAACUGUGUGACAUUACAUCAAGGUUAAACUGUGUGAUUUGAUGAUAUAUUUGAACUAAAACAUAUUCAAACUAUCUGUCAAACGUUUGCUUCAGAUCCCUCUCAAAACAUUUUAAUCGGAAGAAAAAUACCCCAAGGUGCAAAAAUCUACAAUUUGUCGUUUCUUACUGUCCAUUUACCAUAAAUAUCGAAGCCUAAGUACAUUCUUGAAUUUCCGCCGUUAUCACAAGCUCUAGCCUUUCAACCAAGAAAACCAAGUGUCCCCUACGUCAUUCUAGCAGAAAGCAAGCGGACGACAUGUUAAUGGCCCCUUACAAUUUUCUCUUGUACGCGUCUCACGGGUGUUUUUCAGGGAAUCCAGUAUUUUCAUACACCAAAUCUGUCAUAUUUUUUAUUAGAAAUAAUUAUUCCAUAAAUACUUUCCUGGGAAUGCAACUUUAACUCAGAUCAUGAGUUUUAAUGAGAAUGCGCAUGUGCAGUCGAUAAUGAUAACUUUGUGUCUAUCAGUUGUUUUAUUAUGUAUUAGCCUAUUAUUAUUAUUUAUUUAGUUUCGACUUAAUAUCGACUAGCUUUAUAAUGAUUUUAUUGGAUUUUGUUGUCUUCUUUGAAAUAAUUUUUUUUAAAAAAAAACCCAAAACAACUACUGGGUUAACUUCCACUUCGUCUGAUAAUGGCGAAGCCUCGCCAAGAGUAAAUCCUGUAGAUGUUUUUUAAUAGAAAUUUUAAUUUGAAAUAUCCACUAAUGUAAUAUGAUAUAAAUACAAUAUAGAACUUUAUCGUUUAAUUUGAAAUAUCAUCCUCUGUAAUAUUCAAAUUGAAAGUCCCAAAAUAAAAAUAGUGUAAUAGUA